This is a non-coding RNA of Myodes glareolus (Bank vole), 5320 nucleotides long. The record is from RefSeq and is a predicted model, not a curated record. NCBI's taxonomy places the organism in Eukaryota, Metazoa, Chordata, Mammalia, Rodentia, Cricetidae.
UCGGCCAGGACAAACAGCUGGCGGGUGUCAGGGACCGCCUCGGCGCCGCGCGCCCCGGCGCACCGUGCCCGGCUCUCGCCACGACUUCACCUGGGACUCCAGGAGGCACUGCGCUGGCAGUGCGCGGCAGCCGUGGCAGCCGCUGAGGGGUGGGUGGCCGUGCCCGAGGAAGUGAACUUAUUUUGUUCCUUCACAAAAGACUGGACCAGGCGGUGCCUUCCUCGCGAGGACACCUCCUCGGGCGCCCUGUGUGCGCCGGGCAGCACCUCUGGCCCCGGGCGGUGAUCGUUUCGCAGAAAAUGCACCGCCCCGAGUGUCUUAUUGCUGUGAUGAAAUGGAAAUUUAAAUAAAAGGUCGAACACGUGCGUUCACUGGGAAGUAUUGACAUGGGUGUUACAUCACCAGCAGCCAAUCAGAUGACUCCAGUCGUGUUUAUACUUCUACAACCACCUUGUGAGUAUUACAGUAUGUCAUAGCGUUAUAAAUAUUAGGCAGGGUUUUCCCCACGAGCGGGGAGGAGUCAGCUGCUGCGGGCGCUGCGUGCGGCUGCAAGGAGAGAGCCGCUCCGGAGACAGCCUGUGCAGAUGAGAAUGAAUUUUCAGGACUUUUGAGAAGACGCUGUUGGCUUCGCGUGUGGAGUUUAGAGCGAUUAGGACGGUCGAACCUGCAAACGAACCUCCCGUACUUAUGUUAGUUGAGUUUUUCAGGAGGAGGCUUGCCAGUUAGCCCUUAAACUUACCUUCCUUUUAAUUAUGCUCUAUUUAGAAACCUUUAACACGUUUAGACUUUUACUAAUUUACACAGUGAUACCUGUUUUUAUUUACUUAUUUGUUUUUUUUUAAUUGGGGUUUUUUUUUUUUUUUUGAAACACGAUCUUCCAGGAGGCAGGCGCAUCUCCCAGUUUCAGGUUAGCCAGGGAUACACACUGAGACCUCGUCUCAAAAUAAAAGAAACAGGGCUCUGCUAUCUAGCCCAGGCUGAUCUCGAACUCACAGCAGUUCUCCUGCCUCAGUAUCCCUAGUGCUGGAAUUGAGGGUGUACACCACCCACACAAGAUUAAUCUUAAAAUUCUUUUGUUCAAACUUAUUUCAGGCUUUUAUUUCCUUUUUCUUUUCCUUUUUUGUUUUUUUUUUAAAUUUAAAGACAGGGUUUCUAGACUCUCGCUGUCACUAGACCAGGGUGGCCUCCAACCCACAGAGAUUCCCCUGCCUCGAGCCCCUUUUCCCUUUUGGGUGGGUUGGGCUGGGCUGGGGUGGAGAGAGGAGCCAGCAAAGGAUCCCUCCACUUUACAGUUUUAAAGAUACUGGAACCUGGAUAGACGGCUGUUCUUCCGGAGGAACUGGCUGGUUCCCUGGAGCUCCAGCUACUGGGGAUGUGACAGCUCAUCUGUCCCCAGGCACCAGGCAGCCCAUGGUGCACAGACAUACAUGCAGGCGAUACACAAAUGCAUUUUUUUUUUAGUUUAAAGCUAUGUGUUACAAUUCUCCAAAGUGUUAUAAAUUACUGUUUGCCAGUAGGGGUUUUUGUUUUGUGUUUGUGAGCCGGCUUUCUCUGCAGCCUGGCUGGCCUUGACUGGGGUUAUGCCUGGACCUCCAUGCCCAGCUAUGUAGGUGGAGUUUUGGGGUUAUUUUGUUUAUAGGUCUCACUUCAUACCUCUGGCUGUCCUAGAACUCAGUGUGUAGCUCAGACUGCCUUCUAACUCAGGCAAUCCUGCCUCACUUAAGUGCUGGAAUUCAAGGUGAGAGCCACUAUGUCCAAUUGCCUUAACUAAACACAAGCGUGAAUAUUGAGAUUUGUGUGUUGAUGUUGACUUUUCAAAGCCACUUUGACUUAACUCACCUUAAUUUUAGGACCCGAUGUACUGCUGUUUUGUAUGUGAAAUGAAAUUGGUUAAUUCCAAUGUGAUUUUGUGUUUAUUUGCCCGAGUUGGUCUCUUACCUGUCAUGAAGACUGGCAGGACUGCAGUUGCACAGAGAGCCAUGGAGCUUGGAUUAUCUUCCCAGCGAUGAGCUUCUCCUCACCGAAAUAGACUCAGUGGUCACCAUGCUGGAGCCCCUUAUCCCGAGACGGCUGGCAUGGUGGCACAUCCCUGUGAUAUAAGUAGAGGAAGAGAGCCACAAGCUAAAGGUCAUCCUUAGCGCAUAAAGUCUGAGGCCAGCCUGGCAUUCAGGAGCUCCUGUCUCAAGAGAAAGAUGAUGAAUGGUUGAAUGAUGCUACAUUCAUGUAGAGCUCUUCGUGAUGGGCCCACAUAAGGUUCCCCUCCAACACUUGACCUUCCCGCCCCAGCAAGACUUGCAGACUUGCAUAGUGGGGCACACUUACUGGAGUCUCAGCACUCAGGAGACGGAGGCAGGAGAAUCUCAAGUUCGACACUAGCAUGGCCUGCACAGUGAAACUCUUUCUACAAAGGAAAACAAAAGCCAAACUAGACAGCCAUGCAUCUGGCUGGGCCAGGUAAUGGAAGGAGAAGAAAACACAAGCCCCUUUGGACGACCUGCUCUGGGCAGUCGACGCGCCGACACCAAGCCAGUCUUCCACAGCAUACUGUAGACAUACUCCUUACUGUCUGAGGGUACAGGGAUGCCAACUGAAAUGAGGUAGGCCUGUUGUUUUCCUGCUCCUGAAACGAAUUUUUACCUUGGCUUACUAAAUUUCUUGACCCAGCUCUGUUUUCCCAGUCAGUCAGAGCCAGAGGUAUGUUCUGCAAGGCCCACGAAACACUUGGGCUCACUGAGCAGGUACAAUUCAGGUCUGAGCUUCUUGCCACCCUUGUUUAAGUCACCUGACCCCACAGCCCCGGGAUUCUAUUAUUGACUCUCCCUGUAUGAUGCCCUUCAGGUUUGCUCCAAAGACACAUGGUGGAGUCGUGAUUCGGAGAGUUCAUUCUUCUCAAGUGUUCAAUGUCCCUUUAGAUCCCUUUAGAUGCAUUAACAUCUACAAAGUCACCUGCAGGUGAUAGACCCAAGUCACACCCACACAGUUUGAUGUCCAGGGACAAGUUCCUUAAUAUCUCUAGAUGGAUCCUGGUUUCUUUAUCUAUAAAAUGGAACUAAUAAUAGGGUAAGAGAGGCCUCCUGAGUUCGUUGUGAAGAUUUAGCGAAAUCGUGUGGGUAAAGCACUCAAUAUGAGCCGGAAUAGAUGCUAUCCAGAUGAGAGGUGGGGCAGCUACCCUGCUCUGACAUGUGGUCUUGUGCAUACGUUGUGAAAUGUCACACUGUGCCCCUGAGAUUUUAUAAUUGUUGGGUGUCAAUUAAAAUUAUCAAAGUAGUAAAAAGAUAAUACAGUCUCUGCUUCCAAAAAAUCACAGUCUAAUAUGUAUUGACAAUCAUCAGAGAAAAUGUAAAAAGGCGACAGGGGUCAGGAGGGAAAAGAGAGAUGGUUCAGUGGUUAAGAACAUUGGCUGUUUCUCCAGAGGACCUAGGUUCAAUUUUCCAGUAUUACAUGGCGGCUUGCAACUGUCUGUUACUCCAGUUCCAGGGGAUCUGACAGCCUCACACAGACAUGCAUGCAGGCAAAACACCAAUGGACAUAAAAUAAAAAUAAAAAUUUUAAAAGAGAAGGAAAAGAAUAGAGAACUUUUAGAGAAUAGGAAGUGAGAAUAGGGUAGGGUAGGGUAGAAUAAUAGAAUCGAAUCACUAGAAAGAAUAAUGGAAUAAAAUUCUUUGGGGUCAUCAAGAUUAUUUCUCUAGGACCGGGUGAUGGUGGCACAUACCUUUAAUCCCAGCACUUGGGAGGCAGAGGCAGGCAAUGUGUGUGUGAACCAACCUGGUCUACAGAGCGAGUUCCAGGACAGGCUCCAAUGUUACACAGAGAAACCCAGUCUCAGGGGACGGGGUGAUUAUUGUUAUUGGGCUUAGUCUUGUGUGGGUACCUUCUGGUGCUCUGAGUUCAUGAGGCAAGGACCGCGUCACCUCCAAAGAACAGUCUUUCACAACAGUUUUAAAUUUCUUCUCCCAUUUCUUCUGUGGUACUUCCUGGGUUCUGUAUUGAGUUGAGGGUGGUAGUGAUGUUCUCUUCCAGGAUAAGCACCAAAAGUCACUUAUUCCCAGCACUUUGACUAGUUAAGAGUCUCUGCAUUCCUCUUUGCCAACUCCAGAUAUGUUUCUUUAGUCAAGGCUGAGAGCAUCGUUAGUGUAUGGGGUCAUUCGAUACCAUGUCUGUCUAGUAAAAUAGUGACAGUAGGCCAAUGGCCUCCCAGUCACAGACUUUUGACUGGUUUUACAGUACCAGGUAUGGAUUCCUCUUGUACAGGAGUAGAUCUAGACUCCAAUCAGAAAAUCUAUGGUUACUGUCAUAACAGACAUGUCACCUUUGAUAGCAUAACAGUAGAACAGGGUUCUAUGAUGACGUCAAAGUAGAACAGGGUCACCCGUGAUGACGUCACAGCAGAGCAGGGUCACCCGUGAUGACGUCACAGCAGAACAGGGUCGCCUGUGAUGGCGUCACAUUAGAACAGGGUCACUUGUGUUUUCAUCACAGUAGAGCAGGGGCACCUGUGAUGUCAUCACAGUAGAGCAGGGCCGCCUGUGAUGACGUCACUGUAGAGCAGGGUCACCUAUAACGGCGUCACAGUAGAACAGGGUCACCUGUGAUGACGUCACAGUAGAGCAGGUAAGAAACAUAAACCGCAUGUGCAGCAGGCAUUUAGAAGAUAGUCUGCACUGGAGAUUUUUCAACAUAUGUUUGGAAAUUACCAAUUUAUAGCAAGUCAUUAAAUCAGAGUAGAUGAAAGAAAUGAAGGAAAACACACCAAGAGGACGUGCCAUUGCAAUUAUGACCACCUACCUAAGGCCUGCAAAAGACUCAUACAAGACCUACAAACAGGAGAGGGGCUGAUACGGAAGAAGGAGGCCACCAGGAAUAGGAACGGAUACAAGAAGAGAGUUCCAAGUGACGAUGUCCAUGAACAAGGCAAGACCCCUGUUCUCCUAGAGUUGAGAUUCUAAAAGGAAGAAAAGACAAACAGCAAUAGCUAUCCAUAGUUCUGGUUGGCUUUAUGUCAGUGUGGCACAAGCUAUACUCAUCUGAGAAGGAGACUCAAUUGAGAAAAUACCUGCAAAGAUCAGGCUGUAUGCAAGCCUAGAGUGCAUUUGAUCGAUGGCGAACGGCCCAGCCCAUUGUCAGUGGGACCACCCUGGAGCUGAUGGUCCUGGGUUCUAUAAGAAAUUAGGCUGAGCAAGUCAUGGAGCAAGCCAAUAAGAAGCACUCCUCCAUGGUUCUGUGUCGGCUCCUGCCUCCAAGUUUCUGUCCUGUUUGAGUUCCUUGCCUGACUGCUGUCAGUGAUGAAGAGUGUAAGCCAAAUAAACCCUUUCUUCUCUAA